CCCGCUGGCGGCCAUCUUGGAUGAAGGAUCGGCUACAAAGUAACAACACUUGGUCAGCACCCCAUAAGGAACAUUCAUGCUAUGUUUGGUUUUAUUCCAUUCAGUGGUUCUCUAAAAGAAGUCAUUUGUAUGCAUUUCCCAUAGGGUCCUAUGUUAAACUAAGUUCCCGGCUGGCGGCCAUCUUGGAUGAUGGAUCGGCUACAAAGUAACAACACUUGGUCAGCACCUCAUAAGGAACAUUCAUGCCAUGUUUGGUUUCAUUCCAUUUAGUGGUUCUCUAGAGGAAGUCAUUUUGUAUGCAUUUCCCAUAGGUCCUAUGUUAAACUAAGUUCCCGGCUGGCGGCCAUCUUGGAUGAUGGAUCGGCAACAAAGUAACAACACUUGGUCAGCACCUCAUAAGGAACAUUCAUGCCAUGUUUGGUUUCAUUCCAUUUAGUUGGUUCUCUAGAGGAAGUCAUUUGUAUGCAUUUCCCAUAGGGUCCUAUGUUAAACUAAGUCCCCCACUGGCGGCCAUCUUGGAUGAUGGAUCGGCAACAAAGUAACAACACUUGGUCAGCACCUCAUAAGGAACAUUCAUGCCAUGUUUGGUUUCAUUCAAUUCAGUGGUUCUCUAAAAGAAGUCAUUUGUAUGCAUUUUCCAUAGGGUCCUAUGUUAAACUAAGUCCCCUGCUGGCGGCCAUCUUGGAUGAUGGAUCGGCUACAAAGUAACAACACUUGGUCAGUACCCCAUAGGGAACAUUCAUGCUAUGUUUGGUUUUAUUCCAUUCAGUGGUUCUCUAAAAGAAGUCAUUUGUAUGCAUUUCCCAUAGUGUCCUAUGUUAAACUAAGUCCCCGGCUAGCAGCCAUCUUGGAUGAUGGAUCGACAACAAAGUAACAACACUUGGUCAGUACCUCAUAAGGAACAUUCAUGCCAUGUUUGGUUUCAUUCCAUUCAGUGUUCUCUAAAGAAGUCAUUUGUAUGCAUUUCCCAUAGGGUCCUAUGUUAAACUAAGUCCCCCGCUGGCGGCCAUCUUGGAUGAUGGAUCGGCUACAAAGUAACAAC
This 1042-nucleotide long non-coding RNA is filed under the name Mytilus galloprovincialis (Mediterranean mussel). Lineage: Eukaryota; Metazoa; Mollusca; Bivalvia; Mytilida; Mytilidae. The record is from RNAcentral.